AUGCAAGUCGAACGGCAGCACGGAGAGCUUGCUCUCUGGUGGCGAGUGGCGAACGGGUGAGUAAUAUAUCGGAACGUAUCCAAUAAUGGGGGAUAACGAGUCGAAAGAUUCGCUAAUACCGCAUACGCCCUACGGGGGAAAGCAGGGGAUCGUAAGACCUUGCGUUAAUGGAGCGGCCGAUAUCUGAUUAGCUUGUUGGUGAGGUAAAGGCUCACCAAGGCGACGAUCAGUAGCUGGUUUGAGAGAACGACCAGCCACACUGGAACUGAGACACGGUCCAGACUCCUACGGGAGGCAGCAGUGGGGAAUUUUGGACAAUGGGGGCAACCCUGAUCCAGCCAUUCCGCGUGAGUGAAGAAGGCCUUCGGGUUGUAAAGCUCUUUCGCAAGGGAAGAAAACUUAUGAUCGAAUAAAUCAUGAGGUUGACGGUACCUUGAUAAGAAGCACCGGCUAACUACGUGCCAGCAGCCGCGGUAAUACGUAGGGUGCGAGCGUUAAUCGGAAUUACUGGGCGUAAAGCGUGCGCAGGCGGUUUUGUAAGUCGGAUGUGAAAUCCCCGGGCUCAACCUGGGAACUGCGUUCGAAACUGCAAGGCUAGAGUGUGUCAGAGGGGGGUAGAAUUCCACGUGUAGCAGUGAAAUGCGUAGAGAUGUGGAGGAAUACCAAUGGCGAAGGCAGCCCCCUGGGAUAACACUGACGCUCAUGCACGAAAGCGUGGGGAGCAAACAGGAUUAGAUACCCUGGUAGUCCACGCCCUAAACGAUGUCAACUAGUUGUUGGUAGAGUAAAAUCUAUGAGUAACGUAGCUAACGCGUGAAGUUGACCGCCUGGGGAGUACGGUCGCAAGAUUAAAACUCAAAGGAAUUGACGG
RNAcentral lists this ribosomal RNA (871 nucleotides) under uncultured bacterium. RNAcentral describes it as "bacterial SSU rRNA". It matches the Rfam family "Bacterial small subunit ribosomal RNA", at positions 55 to 916 of the family's 1533-position model. The record is from RNAcentral.